GUGCUCGCUUCGGCAGCACAUACACUAAAAUUGGAAUGAUACAGAGAAGUUUAGCAUGGCUCCUGUGCAAGGAUGAAAAAGAAAAUAUCUCCAUAGUACAUAGAUUG
Otolemur garnettii (small-eared galago) is the source of this 107-nucleotide non-coding RNA. NCBI's taxonomy places the organism in Eukaryota, Metazoa, Chordata, Mammalia, Primates, Galagidae. The record is from Rfam.